This 450-nucleotide ribosomal RNA is filed under the name uncultured bacterium. Its description in RNAcentral is "partial 16S ribosomal RNA". It matches the Rfam family "Bacterial small subunit ribosomal RNA", at positions 354 to 796 of the family's 1533-position model. The record is from RNAcentral.
GUGGGGAAUAUUGGACAAUGGGCGAAAGCCUGAUCCAGCCAUGCCGCGUGUGUGAAGAAGGUCUUCGGAUUGUAAAGCACUUUAAGUUGGGAGGAAGGGCAGUAAGUUAAUACCUUGCUGUUUUGACGUUACCGACAGAAUAAGCACCGGCUAACUUCGUGCCAGCAGCCGCGGUAAUACGAAGGGUGCAAGCGUUAAUCGGAAUUACUGGGCGUAAAGCGCGCGUAGGUGGUUUUGUAAGUUGGAGGUGAAAGCCCCGGGCUCAACCUGGGAACUGCCUCCAAAACUGCAUGACUAGAGUACGGUAGAGGGUAGUGGAAUUUCCUGUGUAGCGGUGAAAUGCGUAGAUAUAGGAAGGAACAACAGUGGCGAAGGCGACUACCUGGACUGAUACUGACACUGAGGUGCGAAAGCGUGGGGAGCAAACAGGAUUAGAAACCCCUGUAGUCC